RNAcentral lists this ribosomal RNA (333 nucleotides) under uncultured prokaryote. RNAcentral's name for it is "bacterial SSU rRNA". It matches the Rfam family "Bacterial small subunit ribosomal RNA", at positions 26 to 352 of the family's 1533-position model. The record is from RNAcentral.
AGGACGAACGCUGGCGGCGUGCUUAACACAUGCAAGUCGAACGGGGUGUGCCGGGUAGUAAUACCUUGUACAUCUAGUGGCGAACGGGUGCGUAACACGUGAGCAACCUACCCCGAAGACCGGGACAACACCGGGAAACCGGUGCUAAUACCGGAUACCCCCACCGGACCGCAUGGUCUGGCGGGGAAAUAGAUUCUGCUUCGGGAGGGGCUCGCGGCCUAUCAGCUAGUUGGUGAGGUAACGGCCCACCAAGGCUUCGACGGGUAGCUGGUCUGAGAGGACGAUCAGCCACACUGGGACUGAGACACGGCCCAGACUCCUACGGGAGGCAGC